UUUCGCAUGGCGCAGUGGCUGAGCGUUUUGUCUGGCAAGCAACAGGUGGAGGGUUCGAUGCCCGAGUUUGACAAAG
RNAcentral lists this transfer RNA (76 nucleotides) under Ancylostoma caninum (dog hookworm). RNAcentral describes it as "tRNA-Ala". The record is from RNAcentral. Lineage: Eukaryota; Metazoa; Nematoda; Chromadorea; Rhabditida; Ancylostomatidae.